RNAcentral lists this transfer RNA (77 nucleotides) under Ilumatobacter coccineus YM16-304. RNAcentral's name for it is "tRNA-Trp (CCA) (tRNA-Trp-CCA-1-1)". It matches the Rfam family "tRNA". Rfam says of the family: Transfer RNA (tRNA) molecules are approximately 80 nucleotides in length. Their secondary structure includes four short double-helical elements and three loops (D, anti-codon, and T loops). Further hydrogen bonds mediate the characteristic L-shaped molecular structure. tRNAs have two regions of fundamental functional importance: the anti-codon, which is responsible for specific mRNA codon recognition, and the 3' end, to which the tRNAs corresponding amino acid is attached (by aminoacyl-tRNA synthetases). tRNAs cope with the degeneracy of the genetic code in two manners: having more than one tRNA (with a specific anti-codon) for a particular amino acid; and 'wobble' base-pairing, i.e. permitting non-standard base-pairing at the 3rd anti-codon position. Lineage: Bacteria; Bacillati; Actinomycetota; Acidimicrobiia; Acidimicrobiales; Ilumatobacteraceae. The record is from RNAcentral.
AGGGCAGUAGCUCAGUUGGCUAGAGCAUCGGUCUCCAAAACCGACGGUCGUGGGUUCGAGUCCCUCCUGCCCUGCCA